RNAcentral lists this ribosomal RNA (460 nucleotides) under uncultured bacterium. RNAcentral describes it as "partial 16S ribosomal RNA". It matches the Rfam family "Bacterial small subunit ribosomal RNA", at positions 338 to 795 of the family's 1533-position model. The record is from RNAcentral.
CCUACGGGAGGCAGCAGUGAGGAAUAUUGGUCAAUGGACGAGAGUCUGAACCAGCCAAGUAGCGUGAAGGAUGACUGCCCUAUGGGUUGUAAACUUCUUUUAUAUGGGAAUAAAACAGGGUAUGCAUACCCUCAUGUAUGUACCAUAUGAAUAAGGAACGGCUAACUCCGUGCCAGCAGCCGCGGUAAUACGGAGGAUCCGAGCGUUAUCCGGAUUUAUUGGGGUUAAAGGGAGCGUAGGUGGUUUGUUAAGUCAGUUGUGAAUGUUUGUGGCUCAACCGUAAAAUUGCAGUUGAAACUGGCAGUCUUGAGUACAGUAGAGGUGGGCGGAAUUCGUGGUGUAGCGGUGAAAUGCUUAGAUAUCACGAAGAACUCCGAUGGCGAAGGCAGCUCACUGGACUGCAACUGACACUGAUGCUCGAAAGUGUGGGUAUCAAACAGGAUUAGAUACCCCGGUAGUC